Long non-coding RNA from Homo sapiens (human), 1646 nucleotides. The record is from Ensembl. NCBI's taxonomy places the organism in Eukaryota, Metazoa, Chordata, Mammalia, Primates, Hominidae.
AGCGCCCGGUGACUGCGGACGGAUGAAUAGACGCUGCGGGUCACUGCGCUCUCCCCUGGUCACAGCAACCUCCAAAAACCCAACUUUGCAAAGAUAUGGCAUCGUCAGAAGAAAUGGGGUGCAAUCUAAUGUUGACAGUGUGGAUGAGAGUGGGACACCUGCCAGUUGUUUGCAUCAGCAGACACUCAGAGUCCAUGGAAAAAAUGAGCCUAGAGGUUUUUAAACCACAACACAAGCAAAAGGCACCUGGUCCCGUUCCUCUUAAGACAGAAGAAAGAGGCGUAAAACCAGCUCCAGGUGCCACCCUUAAGAAAUGUUACAGUGCCGGAUGGGAAGAGUAAACCCUGAACAUCUCUUCUUAAUACUUUACAGACUUCAAGUGUAUUUUAUGGUGACAAAGCAUAUUGAAGACAAAUGAAACUCUACAACCCUGAAAACCAGCCUGAAUUAUUUUGAGAGACAGACAGUGGCUGCAAGGAGAAGCGUCGGGAUUUUCUGGGCUGGCCAUCUCCAGUGUCACUGACCCCGGUCUACCCCUGCAUGUUUGUUUACGGGAAAGGAGUUGAGGAGGAGGAUGUAUGGCUGAGAGCCUGAAAAUAAUCCAGGGCAGGUGGAGCGAGGAGAGGACUUUACUCCUCACACUCAUGUAGGCAUCCUGAAAAGCCACUUUUCUUUCCAAGGUGGGCACGGGCCUUGAGCUUGGAGUGGAGCCAGUUAAAGUUGUCCGCUCUGGGUCGUCAGAUGGAGAUCUUAUCUUGGGUCAUGAAUUGUGGUUUUAGGAGAAAGGCAGAAGCUAAACCCAUCUUCUGUCUGGUGGGGAGGCCCAGCAAAGGGCUCAGAAACACAGCCACAGGCCUCUUGCAGCAGCUGGAUGCACAUUUCAGGAGGUUGCCUGAAAGCAGAAUUGACUUCAGAGAGUAGGGCAGCAGAGCCCAGCCACAGAGUGGUCCCAGGAGCCAGGAAGUGCCACACAGCCCCUCGCUUAUUUUUACUCAGUAUGCCACAGAAGUCCUGACCUGUUAAAAGUGCCCUUUAAGAAUGGCUGGCCCACCCUCUCUCAGAGGGUUCAUGCUGGGGAGAGGGUUCCUGCAUGCCCGCUAAGCUCCAAAUGACAACCCAGGUGUAGAAAGGGCUUAGACUUUAGGGUUCAAACCCAUCCUAGAGUCCGGUCCAAGGCCAGUUACAGCCAAUGGGCAGUGGUAGGUGCAGCCCAGCCCAUUAGCUCAUUCUUGAGCCUCAGAGGGACAGAGCAGCACUAAUGGGUGCACAAAUGGCUAGAAUGUUCACCAACUCCUCGAGAGUGGCAUUGGACAUUUGGGCAAGGGUCUUAUGGAGGCUGAGAGUUGACUGUGGGCUCAUCACAGCUAUUUUGAGGGUCUUGACAGCCCAACUAGCAAACAAUUCUGCAGGGAUGAGAGGUCAGGGCAAAGGGAAAUGGCAUUGUCAAGUGGACAGCCAAAAAGUCCAGGAUGCCCCCAGGUCCUGGGGAACGGCGGGGGAGGAACUCAGGGACUGGAUUACCCACAGGACCUGGUGAGACCCACAGCCACGGGCUGACUUGUGUCCACUCAGAAGCGUAUGUUAAAAUCCUAACCCCCAGUACUUUGGAAUGUGACCUUAUUUGGAAAUAGAGACUUUGAAGAUGA